This 1061-nucleotide ribosomal RNA is filed under the name uncultured Microbacterium sp. Its description in RNAcentral is "bacterial SSU rRNA". It matches the Rfam family "Bacterial small subunit ribosomal RNA", at positions 68 to 1139 of the family's 1533-position model. Lineage: Bacteria; Bacillati; Actinomycetota; Actinomycetes; Micrococcales; Microbacteriaceae. The record is from RNAcentral.
GGUGAACACGGAGCUUGCUCUGUGGGAUCAGUGGCGAACGGGUGAGUAACACGUGAGCAACCUGCCCCUGACUCUGGGAUAAGCGCUGGAAACGGCGUCUAAUACUGGAUAUGUGACGUGACCGCAUGGUCUGCGUCUGGAAAGAAUUUCGGUUGGGGAUGGGCUCGCGGCCUACCAGCUUGUUGGUGAGGUAAUGGCUCACCAAGGCGUCGACGGGUAGCCGGCCUGAGAGGGUGACCGGCCACACUGGGACUGAGACACGGCCCAGACUCCUACGGGAGGCAGCAGUGGGGAAUAUUGCACAAUGGGCGCAAGCCUGAUGCAGCAACGCCGCGUGAGGGACGACGGCCUUCGGGUUGUAAACCUCUUUUAGCAGGGAAGAAGCGAAAGUGACGGUACCUGCAGAAAAAGCGCCGGCUAACUACGUGCCAGCAGCCGCGGUAAUACGUAGGGCGCAAGCGUUAUCCGGAAUUAUUGGGCGUAAGGAGCUCGUAGGCGGUUUGUCGCGUCUGCUGUGAAAUCCGGAGGCUCAACCUCCGGCCUGCAGUGGGUACGGGCAGACUAGAGUGCGGUAGGGGAGAUUGGAAUUCCUGGUGUAGCGGUGGAAUGCGCAGAUAUCAGGAGGAACACCGAUGGCGAAGGCAGAUCUCUGGGCCGUAACUGACGCUGAGGAGCGAAAGGGCGGGGAGCAAACAGGCUUAGAUACCCUGGUAGUCCACCCCGUAAACGUUGGGAACUAGUUGUGGGGUCCAUUCCACGGAUUCCGUGACGCAGCUAACGCAUUAAGUUCCCCGCCUGGGGAGUACGGCCGCAAGGCUAAAACUCAAAGGAAUUGACGGGGACCCGCACAAGCGGCGGAGCAUGCGGAUUAAUUCGAUGCAACGCGAAGAACCUUACCAAGGCUUGACAUAUACGAGAACGGGCCAGAAAUGGUCAACUCUUUGGACACUCGUAAACAGGUGGUGCAUGGUUGUCGUCAGCUCGUGUCGUGAGAUGUUGGGUUAAGUCCCGCAACGAGCGCAACCCUCGUUCUAUGUUGCCAGCACGUAAUGGUGGGGAAC